GGACUCGCACAAGCGGUGGAGCAUGCGGUUUAAUUCGAUGCAACGCGAAGAACCUUACCAGGUCUUGACAUCUGAUUGCCAGGACUAGAGAUAGUCCCUUUCUUCGGAACAAUCAAGACAGGUGGUGCAUGGUUGUCGUCAGCUCGUGUCGUGAGAUGUUGGGUUAAGUCCCGCAACGAGCGCAACCCUUAUCAUUAGUUGCUAACAUUAAGUUGAGCACUCUAAUGAGACCGCCGGUGAUAAACCGGAUGAAGGUGGGGAUGACGUCAAAUCAUCAUGCCCCUUAAGACCUGGGCUACACGCGUGCUACAAUGGCUGGUACAAAGAGUCGCAAUACCGCGAGGUGGAGCUAAUCUCGUAAAGCCAGUCUCAGUUCGGAUUGUAGUCUGCAACUCGACUACAUGAAGUUGGAAUCGCUAGUAAUCGUGAAUCAGAAUGUCACGGUGAAUACGUUCUCGAGUCUU
Molecule: ribosomal RNA, 464 nt
Filed under: uncultured bacterium
Lineage: Bacteria
Description: bacterial SSU rRNA
Rfam family: Bacterial small subunit ribosomal RNA
Source: RNAcentral